RNAcentral lists this ribosomal RNA (253 nucleotides) under uncultured bacterium. Its description in RNAcentral is "partial 16S ribosomal RNA". It matches the Rfam family "Bacterial small subunit ribosomal RNA", at positions 524 to 776 of the family's 1533-position model. The record is from RNAcentral.
UACGUAGGGUGCAAGCGUUAAUCGGAAUUACUGGGCGUAAAGCGUGCGCAGGCGGCUUUGCAAGACAGAUGUGAAAUCCCCGGGCUUAACCUGGGAACUGCAUUUGUGACUGCAUGGCUGGAGUGCGGCAGAGGGGGAUGGAAUUCCGCGUGUAGCAGUGAAAUUCGUAGAUAUUGGGAAGAACACCGGUGGCGAAGGCGGCUCACUGGCUCGUAUCUGACGCUCAGGCGCGACAGCGUGGGGAUCAAACAGG